UGCACAAGUCUCCUGGAAUGGAGCGUCAUAGAGGGUGAGAAUCCCGUCUUUGGCACGGACCCCAGGGCUUCUGUGAUGCGCUCUCGAAGAGUCGAGUUGUUUGGGAAUGCAGCUCAAAAUGGGUGGUGAACUCCAUCUAAAGCUAAAUAUUGGCGAGAGACCGAUAGCGAACAAGUACCGUGAGGGAAAGAUGAAAAGCACUUUGGAAAGAGAGUGAAACAGUACGUGAAAUUGUUGAAAGGGAAACGCUUGAAGUCAGUCGCGUCGUCCGAGACUCAGCCUUGCCUCGGCAUGGUGUACUUCUCGGUUGACGGGUCAGCAUCAAUUUUGCCCCUUGGAUAAUGGCGAGGGAAAUGUGACACCUUCACGGGUGUGUUAUAGUCUCACGUCGCAUGCGAGGGUCGGGAUUGAGGAACUCAGCACGCGCUUCUGCGUCGGGGCUUUGCCACGAUACGUGCUUAGGA
This 464-nucleotide ribosomal RNA is filed under the name Russula ryukokuensis. Its description in RNAcentral is "partial large subunit ribosomal RNA". It matches the Rfam family "Eukaryotic large subunit ribosomal RNA", at positions 178 to 618 of the family's 3401-position model. Lineage: Eukaryota; Fungi; Basidiomycota; Agaricomycetes; Russulales; Russulaceae. The record is from RNAcentral.